RNAcentral lists this ribosomal RNA (200 nucleotides) under uncultured Glomus. RNAcentral describes it as "partial small subunit ribosomal RNA". It matches the Rfam family "Eukaryotic small subunit ribosomal RNA", at positions 591 to 796 of the family's 1831-position model. Lineage: Eukaryota; Fungi; Glomeromycota; Glomeromycetes; Glomerales; Glomeraceae. The record is from RNAcentral.
CCAAUAGCGUAUAUUAAAGUUGUUGCAGUUAAAAAGCUCGUAGUUGAAUUUCGGGGUUAGUAGGUUGGUCAUGCCUCUGGUAUGCACUGGCCUCACUGAUUCCUCCUUCCUGAUGAGCCGUAAUGCCAUUAAUUUGGUGUUGCGGGGAAUUUGGACUGUUACUUUGAAAAAAUUAGAGUGUUUAAAGCAAGCUAACGCUU